GGUCAAGUUAUUAAGGGUGCAGGGCGGAUGCCUUGGCACUAGGAGCCGAUGAAGGACGUGAUAAGCUGCGAUAAGCUUCGGGGAGUUGCACGUAAACUUUGAUCCGAAGAUUUCCGAAUGAGGAAACUCACUUAGAGUAAUGUCUAAGUAUCAUUAAGUGAAUACAUAGCUUAAUGAGGGGAACUCAGGGAACUGAAACAUCUAAGUACCUGAAGGAAGAGAAAGAAAUUCGAUUCCGUAAGUAGCGGCGAGCGAACGCGGAUUAGCCCAAACCAAUAAAGUUUUCUUUAUUGGG
RNAcentral lists this ribosomal RNA (295 nucleotides) under Clostridioides difficile. Its description in RNAcentral is "partial 23S ribosomal RNA". It matches the Rfam family "Bacterial large subunit ribosomal RNA", at positions 1 to 296 of the family's 2925-position model. The record is from RNAcentral. Lineage: Bacteria; Bacillati; Bacillota; Clostridia; Peptostreptococcales; Peptostreptococcaceae.